RNAcentral lists this long non-coding RNA (240 nucleotides) under Salvia miltiorrhiza (redroot sage). Its description in RNAcentral is "long non-coding RNA (SMIL_LNC011876)". The record is from RNAcentral. Lineage: Eukaryota; Viridiplantae; Streptophyta; Magnoliopsida; Lamiales; Lamiaceae.
UCAGAGAAGUCGCUAGUCAGAGGAAUCACCAGUCAGAGAAGUCGCUAGCAAGAGAAAUCGCCGUUCCUCUGGCGAUAGCAGAGAAUUCACCGUUCCUCUGGCGAAUGCCAGAGCGGAAGCCAUUCCGCUGGCGAGAGUCCCGAAUUCGGCCAAAGUUGGAGUGUUCCCAGAGCGCGCGUCACAGCUGGAAAGUUGCCUUAUCAUGCACGAUUCUAUUGCCUUUCGAGUUCUACUUUGCAU